GUCUAUGGCCAUGCUACCCUGAACAAGCCUGAUCCCGUCUGAUCUCAGAAGCUAAGCAGGGUCAGGCCUGGUUAGUACUUGGAUGGGAGACCACCUAGGAAGACCAGGUGCUGUAGGCG
This 119-nucleotide ribosomal RNA is filed under the name Pteropus alecto (black flying fox). The record is from RNAcentral. Lineage: Eukaryota; Metazoa; Chordata; Mammalia; Chiroptera; Pteropodidae.